This 592-nucleotide ribosomal RNA is filed under the name uncultured bacterium. RNAcentral's name for it is "bacterial SSU rRNA". It matches the Rfam family "Bacterial small subunit ribosomal RNA", at positions 886 to 1482 of the family's 1533-position model. The record is from RNAcentral.
UCGCAAGGCUAAAACUCAAAGGAAUUGACGGGGGCUCACACAAGCGGUGGAGCAUGUGGCUUAAUUCGAAGCAACGCGAAGAACCUUAUCCAGGGUUUGACAUGUAUGGAUUAACUCAUUGAAAGAUGAGCCACACCUUCGGGUGGAACAUACACAGGUGCUGCAUGGCUGUCGUCAGCUCGUGCUGUGAAGUGUCGGGUUAAGUCCCUCAACGAGCGCAACCCUUGUCUUUAGUUGCUAACAGGUAAUGCUGAGGACUCUAGAGAGACUGCCGGUGUUAAACCGGAGGAAGGUGGGGAUGACGUCAAGUCCUCAUGGCCUUUAUGCCCUGGGCUGCACACGUGCUACAAUGGUAGGUACAAAACGAAGCAAGACCGCGAGGUGGAGCAAAUCGCUAAAACCUGCCCCAGUUCGGAUUGGAGGGUGCAAUUCGCCUCCAUGAAGUUGGAAUCGCUAGUAAUCGUGGAUCAGCUACGCCACGGUGAAUACGUUCCUGAGCCUUGUACACACCGCCCGUCAAGUCAUGGAAGCUGGCAGCGCCCGAAGUCGCCCCGAUUCAGGGGUGCCCACGGUGAGGCUGGUGACUGGGACU